Biomphalaria glabrata is the source of this 827-nucleotide long non-coding RNA. RefSeq lists it as uncharacterized. The transcript is spliced from 3 exons. Lineage: Eukaryota; Metazoa; Mollusca; Gastropoda; Planorbidae. The record is from RefSeq and is a predicted model, not a curated record.
GCCAGUAAACAAACAGAAUGUCAAGUGGUGUAUCUAAUAAAUGACACACGCUACUUCAAAAAAGAAGAUAUAGAUAUAGACUUGUGACUUUGCAAAUUCUGUUAAAACUUUGCCUGUGUCUAGACUUGUCAAAAUAAAUGUAUAUAGAGAUAGCUAUCUAAAACAAAAAUCUUUCGUAGGUUUUAUUGUCUUUGGCUGCGGUGAUAGGUAGAUCAAAUAGUGUCCCGAGGAUUAAAACUGUAAUUUAUCCCUUUCGUCGAAGGGGAUAAACAAGGGAAUCCACUCCAACAGUCUCUCAAGAGUUACCUUCUCACCAGCAGACGAGUUGUGCACUAAAGACCAACACUUCAAAGGUCGCCGUGCUCUGGUCAGACCAAUUACCUUGCUUAAUGAGCCUAUCUCAACAUUCACUUAUACCUGGAGAUAAUCUCUUGUGUUUGGUCUCUCUGUGUUGACUACCAAAGUCUGCAUGUUGGCUGAGCGGAAAAUUCAAGCAAUAUAAGGUGUAAGUUAAUGGUCAAACCUAUUUUAGCAAUGCGUUGCAACGGUCGAGAGUAUUUCAACUGAUCAUUAAUGUAUGUCUUUUAUAACACGGAGGCGCAGUGGCUGAGUGGUUAAGCGCUUGGCUUCCAAGUCUGGGGUCAUGGGUUCAAAUCUUGAUGAAUACUGGGAUUUUCAAUUUCGUGAUUUUAGGGCGCUCCUGAGUCCACGCAAAUCCAAUAGGUACCUGACUUAAGUUGGGGGAAAGUAAAGGCGGUUGGUCGUUGUGCUGGCCACAUGACACCCUGCUCGUUAACCGUUGGCCACAGAAACAGAUGACAUUAACA